GACGAACGCUGGCGGCGUGCUUAACACAUGCAAGUCGAACGGAGGAUUUAUUUCGGUAAAUCCUUAGUGGCGAACGGGUGAGUAACGCGUGGGCAAUCUGCCCUUCAGAUGGGGACAACAUCCCGAAAGGGGUGCUAAUACCGAAUACGAUCACGCUGCCGCAUGGCGGUGGGAUGAAAGAUGGCCUCUAUUUAUAAGCUAUCGCUGAAGGAUGAGCCUGCGUCUGAUUAGCUAGUUGGUGGGGUAACGGCCUACCAAGGCGAUGAUCAGUAGCCGGUCUGAGAGGAUGAACGGCCACAUUGGGACUGGGACACGGCCCAAACUCCUACGGGAGGCAGCAGUGGGGAAUAUUCCGCAAUGGACGAAAGUCUGACGGAGCAACGCCGCGUGAGUGAUGAAGGUUUUCGGACUGUAAAGCUCUGUUGUUUAGGACGAAAGUGCCUGUUGCAAAUAGUUACAGAUAUUGACGGUACUGAACGAGGAAGCCACGGCUAACUACGUGCCAGCCGCCGCAGUAA
This 518-nucleotide ribosomal RNA is filed under the name uncultured bacterium. Its description in RNAcentral is "partial 16S ribosomal RNA". It matches the Rfam family "Bacterial small subunit ribosomal RNA", at positions 28 to 523 of the family's 1533-position model. The record is from RNAcentral.